CCUACGGGAGGCAGCAGUGAGGAAUAUUGGUCAAUGGGCUUACGCCUGAACCAGCCAAGUCGCGUGAGGGAAGACUGCCCUAUGGGUUGUAAACCUCUUUUGACAGGGAGCAACGCCGGCUACGUGUAGCCGGACUGAGAGUACCGGAUGUAAAAGCAUCGGCUAACUUCGUGACAGCAGCCGCGGUAAUACGGAGGAUGCGAGCGUUAGCCGGAUUUAUUGGGUUUAAAGGGUGCGUAGGCGGAAUGCCAAGUCAGCGGUAAAAUGGCGGGGCUCAACCUCGCUCCGCCGUUGAAACUGGCGUACUUGAGUGGGCGAGAGGUAUGCGGAAUGCGUGGUGUAGCGGUGAAAUGCAUAGAUAUAACGCAGAACACCGAUGGCGAAGGCAGCAUACCGGCGCCCAACUGACGCUGAGGCACGAAAGCGUGGGUAUCGAACAGGAUUAGAUACCCCAGUAGUC
This 460-nucleotide ribosomal RNA is filed under the name uncultured bacterium. Its description in RNAcentral is "partial 16S ribosomal RNA". It matches the Rfam family "Bacterial small subunit ribosomal RNA", at positions 338 to 795 of the family's 1533-position model. The record is from RNAcentral.